UGUUAUUGUUGGCCACCAGGCGUCACUAGUGGUUAUCCACCACACUGCCCACCUCAUGCUUGAAUAUAAUAACACUCUAUGUACCUCAGUUCCACCACACCGUCUUGGAAACCUCAAUUAGAAAUUAGAAAGGGGUCUAUAUGAAAAACUUACAAAAUAUUAUCCUGAUAAACAUUUUCAUAUUGUGUCUACAAAUAGUCUAUGUAUAGGUAGUUUUUUCCUCUUUAAAGACACUCUGCCAACUGCCUUACGCUCGUCGGCUGUUUAUUGUUUCACUUGUCCCAGCUGCCAGGCUGAGUAUGUGGGUAGCACCUUGCGCUCACUUAUAAACCGAGCCAGCGAGCAUUUAGGCCAGUCUGCCAGAACAGGGCGCCCGCUACACAACGCCCCAUUUUCCGCGAUACGGGACCACUGCCUCUCAUACCACUGAUGAUGACAUAAGAUGAAAUGUCGAAACGUUUGGCCCAUUAAAGAUGCUGCUCGUA
Molecule: long non-coding RNA, 485 nt
Organism: Portunus trituberculatus (swimming crab)
Lineage: Eukaryota; Metazoa; Arthropoda; Malacostraca; Decapoda; Portunidae
Exons: 2
Source: RefSeq, a predicted model, not a curated record